Molecule: long non-coding RNA, 1748 nt
Filed under: Macaca mulatta (Rhesus monkey)
Lineage: Eukaryota; Metazoa; Chordata; Mammalia; Primates; Cercopithecidae
Description: lncRNA (ENSMMUG00000051778.1)
Source: RNAcentral
AUUCUUCCCAAGCUCAGACAGCGCGCCAGGCUCAGGGUUGCGGAGCUCUCACUCUGUGCUGGCCUUGGAGUGCGGACUUGAAGGCGUCUGGUGGAGUCCUCACCAAAUCUCUUAGAGAGGGGAAGUCAUAGAUUUGAAGCCCUUGUAGGGAUUUGGCAUGCCACUGCUGGCUCGAAGAUGGAGGCAGUCACACGACAAGGAUUGUGGGCCUCCUUCAGGAACUGCGAGUAGCCCCACCUGACAGCCAGCAAGAAAACAGUGCCCUCACACCUACAGCUGCAAUCAGUCAGCAACCUGAAUGAGCGUGGAAGCAGAUCCUUCCCUGGAGCUUUCAGAUAAGAGCUGAGAUGGCCAACAUUUUGUCUUAGGCCUUGUGAGACCUUAUGCAGAGAACCCAGCUGAGACCACCUGGACUUCUGACCCACACAGCUGUGAAGUAAAUGAGGAUGUUGUCUUAAGCUGCUAAAUUGGUGGUAAUUUGUUAGAGCAACAACAGAAAACAGAUACAAUGACAUAGAAAGAGCUUUGUCUUACAUAAUAAACAUUAAUUUUAGCCAAGUUGCUGGACUUGAGAGAGUUCACAUGUAACAGUUGCUGACUGAAGCCCAUGGCAGCCUGAAUGCUUUGGUUGCCAGGGACUCGUACUCCUGUCCUCUCUGCUUUGGUGGGCUGAGUCGUAUGCUCCCAAACCUGCUGGUGCUAAUUCUAUUGCUUAUUAUAAUUUUCUCUUUAUAUGUAUUUUGGUACUAUAUCAACAGGGGACAUAAGACAGUGAACAUGAAGAUAGCUGAUCUUUCUACCAAAAGCUGAACGCUUUGGAAACACUGGAUGAACAGUAAUCAUGAAAAUGCCAUGGAAUUAGGUGGGUGAGGCAAUUAAAGAGCAGAAAAGAACUGUAAAGGUUUAGAAGGUUUUUGGAGUCACAUUACUCUGCUAGCCUCUCAAUUCUUCCUUUAUGUUAAAGACUUCAAAACUAAACUUUACACAGUGCAUGUGGAAGAUGGCUUACUCAAGACUGCUGCCAGGACAGCCCCCAAGCAGUGCUGUGCCCGGAGAAAAGGUGCUGGCCCGAAAGCAGAAGAGUGGUAAAUGAAGGCACAGGACUUUGCUUUAAAUUAAAAUAAGAUAUUUCAGGUGUUGGUUUUUAUCCUAUCUGAUGAUUCCUUGCAUUGACUGAAUUUUUUUUUACUGACCUAGUGCAUCCAGUUCUAUCAGAUAAGAGAGCUUCUGUUAUAAUAUUAGAUAUGCACAUGCACACUCAUACAUGCAUGCUGGGUGAAGUCUAAUCAUGAAAUAUGAACGAAUUUUUGUAAAAAGUGCAUAUUGCUAGAAAAAAUUGGGAAUAUCAAUAGUAGUUAUAUUUGAGUAGGGAUCUUAUGUAUAUUUUCUAUAAUACAAAUAUAUCGCUUUUUAAAUAAGGCAACAAAAGAAAGUAAUCAUCAUCAUCAUCAUAAAAGAAUAAUUGCUAGCUAUCCUUCAAGGUCAGCGUCCAAAAAUUUCCUCCCUGAAGUUUUUCUCAAUUCACAUGAAGUUUCAUAAAUCACUUAUUUCUUUAUGCUCCCAUAGGUUCUUAUUUGUGCUUAAUUAGUUCUGAUAUUUAGCAUGGCCAAUUGUGUCUUUCCUUUUCAUUUGAGAGCAGGGACCAUGACUUAUAAAUAUUCAUAUUUCAUAACACCAAGCACAGUUCCCACCAUUUAGGAGGUAAUUGUCAAAAGAAUGAAUAAAUUGUGUUCUGGUGUAGUCACAAA